GCGCCUGUAGCUCAGCGGAAGAGCAACGGCCUUCUAAGCCGUGGGUCGGAGGUUCGAAUCCUCCCAGGCGCAUCA
Molecule: transfer RNA, 75 nt
Filed under: Actinomycetes bacterium
Lineage: Bacteria; Bacillati; Actinomycetota; Actinomycetes
Description: Actinobacteria bacterium tRNA-Arg
Rfam family: tRNA
About the family: Transfer RNA (tRNA) molecules are approximately 80 nucleotides in length. Their secondary structure includes four short double-helical elements and three loops (D, anti-codon, and T loops).
Source: RNAcentral